This 440-nucleotide ribosomal RNA is filed under the name uncultured bacterium. RNAcentral describes it as "partial 16S ribosomal RNA". It matches the Rfam family "Bacterial small subunit ribosomal RNA", at positions 338 to 795 of the family's 1533-position model. The record is from RNAcentral.
CCUACGGGAGGCAGCAGUGGGGAAUAUUGCACAAUGGGGGAAACCCUGAUGCAGCGACGCCGCGUGAGUGAAGAAGUAAUUCGUUAUGUAAAGCUCUAUCAGCAGGGAAGAAAAUGACGGUACCUGAGUAAGAAGCCCCGGCUAACUACGUGCCAGCAGCCGCGGUAAUACGUAGGGGGCAAGCGGUAUCCGGAUUUACUGGGUGGAAAGGGAGCGUAGACGGCAGUGCAAGUCUGGAGUGAAAGGCGGGGGCUCAACCCCCGGACUGCUCUGGAAACUGUACGGCUGGAGUGCAGGAGAGGUAAGUGGAAGUCCUAGUGUAGCGGUGAAAUGCGUAGAUAUUAGGAGGAACACCAGUGGCGAAGGCGGCUUACUGGACUGUAACUGACGUUGAGGCUCGAAAGCGUGGGGAGCAAACAGGAUUAGAUACCCUAGUAGUC